UACGUAGGGUGCGAGCGUUAAUCGGAAUUACUGGGCGUAAAGGGCCAGUAGGCGGCCAACUAAGUCCGACGUGAAAUCCCCAGGCUCAACCUGGGAACUGCGUCGGAUACUGGAUGGCUUGAAUUCGGGAGAGGGAUGCAGAAUUCCAGGUGUAGCGGUGAAAUGCGUAGAUAUCUGGAGGAAUACCGGUGGCGAAGGCGGCAUCCUGGACCGACAUUGACGCUGAACGGCGAAAGCUAGGGGAGCAAACGGG
Molecule: ribosomal RNA, 253 nt
Filed under: uncultured prokaryote
Description: partial 16S ribosomal RNA
Rfam family: Bacterial small subunit ribosomal RNA
Source: RNAcentral